MicroRNA precursor from Oreochromis aureus, 58 nucleotides. The record is from Ensembl. NCBI's taxonomy places the organism in Eukaryota, Metazoa, Chordata, Actinopteri, Cichliformes, Cichlidae.
CAUAUGUGCUCUGCAGCUGACUUCUAAAUAUCCCAGCAGCUGCACUGCAUGCGUGGCU